CUCUUCCACAGAUGCCCACUGACAAUGAAGGUAAGAAAAGUUUUUGUACUUUACAUAGAACUCCUCUAUUUCUACCUCCUCUCCAUUCUCCAUCUUUUUCUUGACUGAGCGGCUACUCAUGAUUUUCUCCACAACAGGACCUUCAGCAUCAGCAGACUCCUGUUGCUCUGACUGAGAAGUAUUUGAAGGAGAGUCUCUUCCAGCAGCAUCAGCAUCAU
Molecule: long non-coding RNA, 218 nt
Filed under: Gallus gallus (chicken)
Lineage: Eukaryota; Metazoa; Chordata; Aves; Galliformes; Phasianidae
Source: RNAcentral